Small nucleolar RNA from Cottoperca gobio, 74 nucleotides. The record is from Ensembl. Lineage: Eukaryota; Metazoa; Chordata; Actinopteri; Perciformes; Bovichtidae.
UACCUGUGAUGAAAAGAUUCUGCCAAAUGAUCUCUCAUGAUUAUACUCCUACCGUUCCAUUUUCUUCUGAGGCU